Molecule: ribosomal RNA, 284 nt
Filed under: uncultured bacterium
Lineage: Bacteria
Description: partial 16S ribosomal RNA
Rfam family: Bacterial small subunit ribosomal RNA
Source: RNAcentral
GUAGCCGACCUGAGAGGGUGAUCGGCCACAUUGGAACUGAGACACGGUCCAAACUCCUACGGGAGGCAGCAGUGGGGAAUAUUGCACAAUGGGCGCAAGCCUGAUGCAGCAACGCCGCGUGAGCGAUGAAGGCCUUCGGGUCGUAAAGCUCUGUCCUCAAGGAAGAUAAUGACGGUACUUGAGGAGGAAGCCCCGGCUAACUACGUGCCAGCAGCCGCGGUAAUACGUAGGGGGCUAGCGUUAUCCGGAUUUACUGGGCGUAAAGGGUGCGUAGGCGGUCUUUC